This 506-nucleotide ribosomal RNA is filed under the name uncultured Burkholderiales bacterium. RNAcentral describes it as "partial 16S ribosomal RNA". Lineage: Bacteria; Pseudomonadati; Pseudomonadota; Betaproteobacteria; Burkholderiales. The record is from RNAcentral.
CACGUAGUUAGCCGGUGCUUAUUCUGCCGGUACCGUCAAGAACCACACGUAUUAGGCGUGGCCUUUUCUUUCCGACCAAAAGCGGUUUACAACCCGAAGGCCUUCUUCCCGCACGCGGCAUGGCUGGAUCAGGGUUCCCCCCAUUGUCCAAAAUUCCCCACUGCUGCCUCCCGUAGGAGUCUGGGCCGUGUCUCAGUCCCAGUGUGGCUGAUCAUCCUCUCAGACCAGCUACCGAUCGUCGCCUUGGUAGGCCUUUACCCCACCAACUAGCUAAUCGGACAUCGGCCGCUCCAAAAGCGUGAGGCCCUUGCAGGUCCCCCACUUUCAUCCAUAGAUCGUAUGCGGUAUUAAUCCGGCUUUCGCCGGGCUAUCCCCCACUCCUGGGUACGUUCCGAUGUAUUACUCACCCGUUCGCCGCUCGCCGCCAGGGUUGCCCCCGCGCUGCCGCUCGACUUGCAUGUGUAAAGCAUGCCGCCAGCGUUCAAUCUGAGCCAGGAUCAAACUCU